UAGAGUUUGAUCCUGGCUCAGAUUGAACGCUGGCGGCAUGCCUUACACAUGCAAGUCGAACGGCAGCAUGGACUUCGGUCUGGUGGCGAGUGGCGAACGGGUGAGUAAUACAUCGGAACGUGCCUAGUAGUGGGGGAUAACUACUCGAAAGAGUAGCUAAUACCGCAUGAGAUCUACGGAUGAAAGCAGGGGAUCGCAAGACCUUGUGCUACUAGAGCGGCUGAUGGCAGAUUAGGUAGUUGGUGGGAUAAAAGCUUACCAAGCCGACGAUCUGUAGCUGGUCUGAGAGGACGAUCAGCCACACUGGAACUGAGACACGGCCCAGACUCCUACGGGAGGCAGCAGUGGGGAAUUUUGGACAAUGGGCGAAAGCCUGAUCCAGCAAUGCCGCGUGCAGGAUGAAGGCCUUCGGGUUGUAAACUGCUUUUGUACGGAACGAAAAGCUCUGGGUUAAUACCUCGGAGUCAUGACGGUACCGUAAGAAUAAGCACCGGCUAACUACGUGCCAGCAGCCGCGGUAAUACGUAGGGUGCAAGCGUUGAUCGGAAUUACUGGGCGUAAAGCGUGCGCAGGCGGUUUUGUAAGACAGAGGUGAAAUCCCCGGGCUCAACCUGGGAACUGCCUUUGUGACUGCAAGGCUAGAGUACGGCAGAGGGGGAUGGAAUUCCGCGUGUAGCAGUGAAAUGCGUAGAUAUGCGGAGGAACACCGAUGGCGAAGGCAAUCCCCUGGGCCUGUACUGACGCUCAUGCACGAAAGCGUGGGGAGCAAACAGGAUUAGAUACCCUGGUAGUCCACGCCCUAAAC
This 805-nucleotide ribosomal RNA is filed under the name uncultured bacterium. RNAcentral's name for it is "bacterial SSU rRNA". It matches the Rfam family "Bacterial small subunit ribosomal RNA", at positions 1 to 807 of the family's 1533-position model. The record is from RNAcentral.